CGGGGAGAAGGUGGGCUUUUCCCCGCAAAGAAGGUGGGAGCUAUGGAGGGCUGCGGGCAGAGGAGGGGUAAUGUUCAUUUAACUCCUGGAGUUUGGCAAAAUGCUAUCAUCAAAACAGACUUUAUCACAGAACCUCUAGCUAUCCCCGUCCCCUCCGUAAGCUCCUCUGAGCAUAGCAACAGAACGGUAAGGUAAGGCAGCGAUUGGAAACGCCCGCGUUACAGAUGAGCGGAGAGCUGCUGGAGGUUGGAGGCUCCGACAGAGGAGGUGACUGGUCCAGAGCCACAUGGCCAGGUUGUGCUGGGGCUGGAACUCCAUCGAACGCAGGUUUCAGGGUGCAGCCCUUGUUUCCAUAAGAUACCCCAAAAUCAGACAAGCCUGGGACUUGCCACCUCUUCUUUAAAAACCCCAGUGCUGUUUUUGUUUUUGUUUUUUUUGAGAUAGGGUCUCCCUCUGUUGCCCAGGCUGGAGUGCAGUGGCUCAAUCAUAGCUCACCCACUGCAGCCUCGACCUCCUGGGCUCAAGCAGUCCUCCUGCCUCAGCCUCUUGAGUGGCUGAUACUACAGGUGUGCACCACCACAGCCAGACGCAGAGCAAAGCGGCAGUCCCCGGACAGGGAUGGGCUCUG
RNAcentral lists this small RNA (628 nucleotides) under Pan troglodytes (chimpanzee). Its description in RNAcentral is "processed transcript". Lineage: Eukaryota; Metazoa; Chordata; Mammalia; Primates; Hominidae. The record is from RNAcentral.